RNAcentral lists this ribosomal RNA (492 nucleotides) under uncultured bacterium. RNAcentral's name for it is "partial 16S ribosomal RNA". It matches the Rfam family "Bacterial small subunit ribosomal RNA", at positions 29 to 507 of the family's 1533-position model. The record is from RNAcentral.
AGUGAACGCUGGCGGUAGGCCUAACACAUGCAAGUCGAACGGCAGCACAGUAAGAGCUUGCUCUUACGGGUGGCGAGUGGCGGACAGGUGAGGAAUACAUCGGAAUCUACUUUUUCGUGGGGGAUAACGUAGGGAAACUUACGCUAAUACCGCAUACGACCUACGGGUGAAAGCAGGGGAUCUUCGGACCUUGCGCGAUUGAAUGAGCCGAUGUCGGAUUAGCUAGUUGGCGGGGUAAAGGCCCACCAAGGCGACGAUCCGUAGCUGGUUUGAGAGGAUGAUCAGCCACACUGGAACUGAGACACGGUCCAGACUCCUACGGGAGGCAGCAGUGGGGAAUAUUGGACAAUGGGCGCAAGCCUGAUCCAGCCAUACCGCGUGGGUGAAGAAGGCCUUCGGGUUGUAAAGCCCUUUUGUUGGGAAAGAAAAGCAGCAGGUUAAUACCCCGCUGUUCUGACGGUACCCAAAGAAUAAGCACCGGCUAACUUCGUG